GAGAGGAGGUACUUGGUUUGGCCACUUUAACCGUCAAUUUUGACAAGGUAUGUUAAUUGUAUGGAUGAGUAAACUUCUAUGUGCUGGCAAACACAUAGACUUCCUGCAAGACUACAAAACAAAAGCCUGCAAAAGGAGAAAGGCAGAGAGAGGAAGAGGUGAGCAGUUCAGGGUGAUGAACAUCUGGUCGCAACUUUCCUUUGAGACUCACAGCAGUUGCAGCUACUGUAAACCUGACAAGCAGUCCAACAGCAGUGAGACCAGGGCACUUGAAAUGGACUGGUAAUGAAAUAAGCUGCUCAUAAAACAUUGAGACACAUCAGGACAAGACUGACCAGGGAGUUUCAGCACUUUGGUGAUGAUCUCUACAUGCGACACAACACCUGUGAAGAUGCUGCCUGAAGCUGUGACAGAUAUGGACAACAUGAGAAAACCGGAGGAAGUCUUCUUGAAAAGCCAUAUUUAUUAAUCUAUGAUUUAGGAACUAUGGGUUGCUCUUGUUUUUGUGGGUGCAUCUCCACGUGACAAAAGUACUGUCAUGAUUUUAUAAGCCA
Long non-coding RNA from Perca fluviatilis (European perch), 554 nucleotides. RefSeq lists it as uncharacterized. The record is from RefSeq and is a predicted model, not a curated record. NCBI's taxonomy places the organism in Eukaryota, Metazoa, Chordata, Actinopteri, Perciformes, Percidae. The transcript is spliced from 3 exons.